This 253-nucleotide ribosomal RNA is filed under the name uncultured bacterium. RNAcentral's name for it is "partial 16S ribosomal RNA". It matches the Rfam family "Bacterial small subunit ribosomal RNA", at positions 524 to 776 of the family's 1533-position model. The record is from RNAcentral.
UACGUAGGGGGCAAGCGUUGUCCGGAUUUAUUGGGCGUAAAGAGCGUGUAGGCGGCCAGGUAGGUCCGUUGUGAAAACUGGAGGCUUAACCUCCAGCUGUCGGUGGAAACCAUCUGGCUAGAGUCCGGAAGAGGAGAGUGGAAUUCCUGGUGUAGCGGUGAAAUGCGCAGAUAUCAGGAAGAACACCCGUGGCGAAGGCGGCUCUCUGGGACGGUACUGACGCUGAGACGCGAAAGCGUGGGGAGCGAACAGG